RNAcentral lists this ribosomal RNA (143 nucleotides) under uncultured eukaryote. RNAcentral's name for it is "partial small subunit ribosomal RNA". The record is from RNAcentral.
GUACACACCGCCCGUCACACCWUGGGAGUGGGUUGCAAAAGAAGUAGGUAGCUUAACCUUCGGGAGGGCGCUUACCACUUUGUGAUUCAUGACUGGGGUGAAGUCGUAACAAGGUAACCGUAGGUGAACCUGCAGAAGGAUCA